UUCAAUUUGAAACCCAAUUAGUUGAUUUAGAUUCGUUUUGUCAGUCUUUGAGAGAUCGUCAUCGAAUCAUUUCGCUAUGCGUUUUUCAAACGAUGUGUGCUAAUCCUUUGAUGUUGGCUGUCCAUUGCAAUCAUUGUCCAAAAUUUGGCUCGUUGCAUUUCGUUUCGGUGCGAUUCAGAGGGUUCUCUAGCAUUUCCAGCUAAAGUUCCCGAGUAUCGAGAAGAAAUGUGCCAAUUUUUCAUGUUGUACAUGAUCGCUCGAGGAGAAAAAAGCUUCAUCACUAAGGAUUGCUAUCAAACAUCGUCAAUAAGUCAAAU
This 317-nucleotide unclassified non-coding RNA is filed under the name Notoedres cati. RNAcentral's name for it is "ITS2". The record is from RNAcentral. Lineage: Eukaryota; Metazoa; Arthropoda; Arachnida; Sarcoptiformes; Sarcoptidae.